This 253-nucleotide ribosomal RNA is filed under the name uncultured bacterium. RNAcentral's name for it is "partial 16S ribosomal RNA". It matches the Rfam family "Bacterial small subunit ribosomal RNA", at positions 524 to 776 of the family's 1533-position model. The record is from RNAcentral.
UACGUAGGGUGCGAGCGUUGUCCGGAAUUAUUGGGCGUAAAGGGCUCGUAGGCGGUUUGUCGCGUCGGGAGUGAAAUCCACUGGCUUAACUGGUGGCUUGCUUUCGAUACGGGCAGACUGGAGGUAUGCAGGGGAGAACGGAAUUCCUGGUGUAGCGGUGAAAUGCGCAGAUAUCAGGAGGAACACCGGUGGCGAAGGCGGGUCUCUGGGCCGAUACUGACGCUGAGGAGCGAAAGCGUGGGGAGCGAACAGG